RNAcentral lists this ribosomal RNA (45 nucleotides) under Pollicipes pollicipes. RNAcentral describes it as "partial 18S ribosomal RNA". The record is from RNAcentral. Lineage: Eukaryota; Metazoa; Arthropoda; Thecostraca; Pollicipedomorpha; Pollicipedidae.
UGUUUUCCGUAGGUGAACCUGCAGAAGGAUCAUUCCCAGUCUUAU